Long non-coding RNA from Balaenoptera ricei (Rice's whale), 532 nucleotides. RefSeq lists it as uncharacterized. The record is from RefSeq and is a predicted model, not a curated record. NCBI's taxonomy places the organism in Eukaryota, Metazoa, Chordata, Mammalia, Artiodactyla, Balaenopteridae. The transcript is spliced from 3 exons.
CCCCCCCCCCCCCCCCCCGCCCCUGAGUGACUCUUUCUGACCUGUCUCUGGGCCCUGAGGGUUGCUGUUAUUUGCUGUUUGUUUCUUACUUGCUUUGCAGAGUAAAGGGGAUCAUUACUCCCACCGAGAGCGCCAGAGUAGCUGGUUUGCCCUUGCAUAAGCAGAAGAAAAGCUACUCACUCUGAGUGGCUAGGUGUUAAGUUGGAGAUUGUUCUGGGUGUGAAACUCCAGGAAACCUUUGGACUGCUAAGAACUACAGGUUGCACUUCCUGUGCACUUUAUUGCAGAGUGCCCCCGAGUCUGAACUACGCUGUUAGCUUAGGUGAACCUGUGCCUAGGAAGAUAAACUGGCAUCAAGGAUAUCAGAAACCUUUCUUAAUAGGGCUCAUGGGUGAACUACAUAAAAAACUAUUGACCCUUUUCCUGAAAAUUCCUCUCAUGCUUCAAACAUACAUUUUUAUCACUAGCUUACAAAGAACAAUAAAUUAUUUUAUUGUCUUAUUAUAGUUUCAUUAAGGAUCUUAUUUUUGGC